Molecule: unclassified non-coding RNA, 97 nt
Organism: Cercocebus atys (sooty mangabey)
Lineage: Eukaryota; Metazoa; Chordata; Mammalia; Primates; Cercopithecidae
Rfam family: Y RNA
About the family: Y RNAs are components of the Ro ribonucleoprotein particle (Ro RNP), in association with Ro60 and La proteins. The Y RNAs and Ro60 and La proteins are well conserved, but the function of the Ro RNP is not known. In humans the RNA component can be one of four small RNAs -- hY1, hY3, hY4 and hY5.
Source: Ensembl
GGCUGGUCUGAGUGCAAUAGUAGUUACAACUAACUGAUCACAACCAGUUACAGAUUUAUCCUGCUCCACUCUCACUGCUUCACUUGACUAGCCUUUA